This 327-nucleotide unclassified non-coding RNA is filed under the name soil metagenome. Its description in RNAcentral is "partial contains 5.8S ribosomal RNA, internal transcribed spacer 2, and large subunit ribosomal RNA". The stretch from base 1 to 120 matches the Rfam family "5.8S ribosomal RNA", at positions 35 to 154 of the family's 154-position model. The record is from RNAcentral.
GAUGAAGAACGCAGUGAAAUGCGAUAAGUAAUGUGAAUUGCAGAAUUCAGUGAAUCAUCGAAUCUUUGAACGCACAUUGCGCCCCUUGGUAUUCCGGGGGGCAUGCCUGUUCGAGCGUCAUUAUAACCCCUCAAGCUCAGCUUGGUGUUGGGGCCUGCCAACUGGCAGCCCUUAAAAUCAGUGGCGGCGCCAUCUGGCUCUAAGCGUAGUAAUUUCUCUCGCUAUAGGGUCCCGGUGGAUGCUGGCCAACAACCCCCAAUUUUCUAUGGUUGACCUCGGAUCAGGUAGGGAUACCCGCUGAACUUAAGCAUAUCAAUAAGCGGAGGA